GACGAACGCUGGCGGCGUGCUUAACACAUGCAAGUCGAACGCAGUGGCGCACGGGUGAGUAACGCGUAAUCAACCUGCCCUUCCGAGGGGGACAACAGUGGGACACGACUGCUAAUACCGCAUACUGAAGGAGGGGAUUGCGUCUGAUUAGCAAGUUGGAGGGGUAACGGCCCACCAAGGCGAUGAUCAGUAGCCGGUCUGAGAGGAUGAACGGCCACAUUGGGACUGAGACACUGCCCAGACUCCUACGGGAGGCAGCAGUGGGGAAUCUGCCGAAAUGGACGAAAGUCUGACGGAGCAACGCCGCGUGAGUGAGGACGGCCGUCGGGUUGUAAAGCUCUGUUAAUCGGGACGCGGUACCGGAAUAGAAAGCCACGGAUAACUACGUGCCAGCCGCCGCGGUAAUAC
Molecule: ribosomal RNA, 408 nt
Filed under: uncultured bacterium
Lineage: Bacteria
Description: partial 16S ribosomal RNA
Rfam family: Bacterial small subunit ribosomal RNA
Source: RNAcentral